RNAcentral lists this ribosomal RNA (272 nucleotides) under uncultured bacterium. RNAcentral's name for it is "partial small subunit ribosomal RNA". It matches the Rfam family "Bacterial small subunit ribosomal RNA", at positions 26 to 285 of the family's 1533-position model. The record is from RNAcentral.
AGAAUCAACGCUGGCGGCGUGCCUAACACAUGCAAGUCGAACGCGAAAGUCCCGCAAGGGAUAAGUAGAGUGGCAAACGGGUGAGUAACACGUGGGUGACCUGCCUUCGAGUGGGGGAUAACGUCCCGAAAGGGACGCUAAUACCGCAUGACAUCCUGCUUUUUAAGAGGUGGAGAUCAAAGCCGGGGAUCGCAAGACCUGGCGCUUGAAGAGGGGCCCGCGCCUGAUUAGCUAGUUGGUGGGGUAACGGCUCACCAAGGCUUCGAUCAGUA